AGUAUUAGAUUUAUUAAUUUAUUUAAUAAAUCUAUAAUGUAUUUCAUAUGUUUUUAAAUUGUAAAUAUAAAUGCAUUAUUAAAUCUUUAAAGGUCACCCAAGUAGAACAGGCAGUACCUGUACUUAAUUAUUAUUGCCUUGGGUUAUGAAGGUUCUGGUCUUUGGUCUUUGGUUUGAAGUAUUCACUGUUUUCAUUGGUUUGGACUUUGUAAGGUUGUGUUUUAUUGGUUCAGUAUUUUUCCCUCCAAAAAAAAGUUGUUUGUUAUGGUCAUUCUUUGUCCAGUAUUUGUCCAGAAAGGGUUGUAUUUACGAAGUUUUAUAAUUAUGACCUUCUGACAUUGACAGAGACAAUACUUUUCUCUCUUAAGUUUUAUGAUCUGGACAUACGUGUACAGUGAGCCAUAUUGUGACUACAAUGAAUGGGAGAGGCUCAGUCCCAUAGAUUGGGCAUUAUUCCAAAUUCCUUCAUUGUUCCAUUAUUCCAACUAUUCUAUGUGUUCAUCUGUGAAUGUAAUAAAUGGAGAUGUCAGUAGAACCCUGAAACGGACUUAUUUAUAUUUCCAUGCUCAAGAUUUAUAAUAAGACACCG
Saccostrea echinata is the source of this 589-nucleotide long non-coding RNA. RefSeq lists it as uncharacterized. The transcript has 3 exons. The record is from RefSeq and is a predicted model, not a curated record. Lineage: Eukaryota; Metazoa; Mollusca; Bivalvia; Ostreida; Ostreidae.